This 914-nucleotide ribosomal RNA is filed under the name Peziza varia. RNAcentral describes it as "eukaryotic LSU rRNA". It matches the Rfam family "Eukaryotic large subunit ribosomal RNA", at positions 22 to 947 of the family's 3401-position model. Lineage: Eukaryota; Fungi; Ascomycota; Pezizomycetes; Pezizales; Pezizaceae. The record is from RNAcentral.
UACCCGCUGAACUUAAGCAUAUCAAUAAGCGGAGGAAAAGAAACCAACAGGGAUUGCCUCAGUAACGGCGAGUGAAGCGGCAAAAGCUCAGAUUUGAAAUCUGGCGUCAUAUUGGCGUCCGAGUUGUAAUCUGUAGAGGAGUAUUCGAGUGUGGCGUUGGCUUAAGUUCCUUGGAACAGGACGUCAUAGAGGGUGAGAACCCCGUUAACGGCCUUUGUCUUAUGCUCAUGUGAAUCUCCUUCAACGAGUCGAGUUGUUUGGGAAUGCAGCUCUAAAUGGGUGGUAAAUUCCAUCUAAAGCUAAAUACUGGCAAGAGACCGAUAGCGCACAAGUAGAGUGAUCGAAAGAUGAAAAGAACUCUGAACAGAGAGUUAAAUAGUACGUGAAAUUGUUGAAAGGGAAGCACUUGCUACCAGACACGCCUGUAGUUGAUCAGCCUUCAUUCUUGAUGGUGCACUCGGCUACAUGGUGGGUCAGCAUCAGUUGUGGCGGUGGGAUAAAGACCAGGGGAAUGUGGCUUCUCUCGGGAAGUGUUAUAGCCCCAGGUGCAAUACCGCCUGCUGCGACUGAGGACCGCGCCCGCAAGGGUGAGGAUGCUGGCAUAAUGGUCGUAAGUGACCCGUCUUGAAACACGGACCAAGGAGUCUAACAUCUAUGCGAGUGUUUGGGUGUCAAAACCCUUACGCGGAAUGAAAGUGAAUGUAGGUGGGAACCGCAAGGUGCACCAUCGACCGAUCCUGAUGUCUUCGGAUGGAUUUGAGUAGGAGCAUAGCUGUUGGGACCCGAAAGAUGGUGAACUAUGCCUGAAUAGGGUGAAGCCAGAGGAAACUCUGGUGGAGGCUCGCAGCGGUUCUGACGUGCAAAUCGAUCGUCAAAUUUGGGUAUAGGGGCGAAAGACUAAUCGAACCAUCUAG